RNAcentral lists this small nuclear RNA (60 nucleotides) under Fukomys damarensis (Damara mole-rat). Its description in RNAcentral is "7SK RNA". It matches the Rfam family "7SK RNA", at positions 26 to 85 of the family's 331-position model. From Rfam's summary of the family: 7SK was discovered as an abundant small nuclear RNA in the mid-70s but a possible function has only recently been suggested. Two independent studies have found that 7SK RNA binds the CDK9/cyclin T complex (known as elongation factor P-TEFb). P-TEFb activates transcription by phosphorylating the C-terminal domain of RNA polymerase II. Lineage: Eukaryota; Metazoa; Chordata; Mammalia; Rodentia; Bathyergidae. The record is from Rfam by way of RNAcentral.
CAUCUGUCACCUCAGCGAGCGCCAGGGUCGGCUCGGCUGAUCUGGCUUGCAAGGCGGGUG